GGAGGAGUGUCCGAGUGGUUUAAGGAGGCGGUCUUGAAAACCGUUGUGGUUAAUAGCCACCGUGGGUUCGAAUCCUACCUCCUCCGCCA
RNAcentral lists this transfer RNA (89 nucleotides) under Bacillota bacterium. RNAcentral describes it as "tRNA-Ser". It matches the Rfam family "tRNA". From Rfam's summary of the family: Transfer RNA (tRNA) molecules are approximately 80 nucleotides in length. Their secondary structure includes four short double-helical elements and three loops (D, anti-codon, and T loops). Lineage: Bacteria; Bacillati; Bacillota. The record is from RNAcentral.